UACGAGGGGGGCGAGCGUUGUUCGGAAUUAUUGGGCGUAAAGGGUGCGUAGGCGGUUUGGUAAGUCUUAUGUGAAAUCUAUGGGCUCAACUCAUAGUCUGCAUGAGAAACUGCCGGGCUUGAGUAUGGGAGAGGUGAGUGGAAUUCCUGGUGUAGCGGUGAAAUGCGUAGAUAUCAGGAGGAACACCUGUGGCGAAGGCGGCUUCCUGGCCUGUAACUGACGCUGAGGCGCGAAAGCUAGGGGAGCAAACAGG
RNAcentral lists this ribosomal RNA (253 nucleotides) under uncultured bacterium. RNAcentral's name for it is "partial 16S ribosomal RNA". It matches the Rfam family "Bacterial small subunit ribosomal RNA", at positions 524 to 776 of the family's 1533-position model. The record is from RNAcentral.